Molecule: long non-coding RNA, 3255 nt
Organism: Panicum virgatum (switchgrass)
Lineage: Eukaryota; Viridiplantae; Streptophyta; Magnoliopsida; Poales; Poaceae
Exons: 2
Source: RefSeq, a predicted model, not a curated record
UGCACAUGCUCUCCUCGUUCUCGCGCGUUCCGCAAGUUUCCACGCUCGUUCGUGGCGUUGCCGUCGCCGUCAUACUGCUGCGCGCUGCGAGCUACACGCGCGCACCCCUGCACUGUGCUGCUGUGCGUGCCGGCUUCGUCCGGCCGCACCGGCCGUCGCGCCGCCCUGCCCUGCCGCUGGUCGGCCUCGCCGUCAACGGAGCGCCGCCACUCGCCGCGCCAUCGGCCAUGGCCCUGUGUUGGCCACGGUCUCAGUUGGGCCGGUCUAACCCUUAUAACCGGUCUGCCGGUGGGGGUCUUUUUUUUAUUUGACGAAAGCUUGUAGAUUGCAUAACAAUUCAAGAAAAAAUCCUAAAAAUACAAAAUUAGUUUUGUUUGAAUGCUUAGAUCUAAAUCUCCAAGGGAAAAAUAUUAAUUCUUGUGAAAUGACCAUUUUGCCUCUGUUAAAAUUUAGGUUGUGUUAUAGGCUUAUUUAGUUAGUUUCGGCAAAUCUAUUAGUCUAAAAAUUAUGAAAUCUAGGCAGUAGUUUAAUUUAUGUAUGUGUAGUCCACUAUAAAAGUUUCAUGCCUAGAAAACCUAGUUUGAUAUGUUAGUUGGUUCUCCAUGUGUUAGUAUAUCUAUGAGUUAAUGGAUAGUUUAUAUUUGAGAAGAAUUUUGUAAAUGAAAUUAGAACACUGUACUAGUAGAUAGUAUACAUCAUAUUAGAUUUUGCUCAUCACUAGAAUGUGCUCAUGAUUUACUUUAGCGAGUUAUUUUACUUAUGGCAAAUCUAGAUAACUUGUAUUAAAACCAUAUUGCUAGGUUUAAGGCUAAUAUAAUUCUCUUGUGAAUAAAACCCUAUAAAGAUUCUAUAAAAUAGGUUAGUGGUAUCUAGGUACAUCUCUAUCUACGAUUUGCGCACCAAAAGCGGGCACCCGAUAAGGCCACGUCACCCGCUAACCUGCUAGCCGUCGGAUCAAGCCAUGGAGCAACGUGAACUGUCCAAUGCGGUUCGCGGGUCUUUCACCCAUUAACCGAACAAUCAGGCGUUCCAAAGUAUUCGCGAAACCUCCCCAUCUACAGCCCUCUACCCUGCCACGCCCUGUGACGGCGUUCGUCCCCGCCGCUAAAACAGGACCACCGGCUCUCCCGCUUCGCCACCGGCGUGACCGGGCUCCUCCUCGGCGCGACUGGCGAGGCCACGUGGGCCGCCCGCGCCUCGCGGAGAUACCCGCCAGGCCGCCACGGAGGAGAACGGAGGAAGAGGAUGAGCCGCAUCGUCGACCUGCCCGACGGGCACCCGAGCAGAGCUGCCAUGAUGGCGUGCCUCGCGCCCCUCGCCGGUCCGACUCCCCUCCGCUUCUGCUACAGGCACGCGGUGCCAGGCCGGCCUGUGGCAUCUCCUUCUCCCCUUCCCCGCGGUUGCUGGCGGAGCUCGGCACCAUCGGCGACCCGGGCCAAAUGAGAGGUGGCGGGUGGCGCACGCAGCGGCCCAGCGGUGCGACACCAGGAGCAAGGGAGCACCGGCCCGCUUGCGCCGGCACGGCGGAGGAGGCCCCCACGGAAGGGGAUGAUGCCGGCGGUGAUGGAAUCGAGGUCCCGAUUUCCUCCUCCGGCAGAUACAAUUCCCCUUCAAUUGCAGUGGUUAUAAAGAUCAGCGGGGGGGGGGGGGGGCGAUUUGGUCCGUAGUGGAUGCCGUCGCGGCGGGCGCCCGCGCUUUCUCCGAAGUCCGACCUGGAGCUCGAGCCCUUACACGUCGCCGGAGAGCCUCCCCACCUGCCGAAAUCGGCACUGCGAGCCUGGUCCCUUGCUUCUCUGCUUGUAAGGUUCCAGCCGGCCCUGGGACCGCGUGGGCCCUCUGCAGCUCGCCGGCGGUGGCCGCCAUCACCGUGUCCGCCCUUGGCGCCUGGGCGGAGUGAGGUCUCCUGGGUGGCUGGCAACAGUCUGCGAUGCUGGGGUUGCGGCUCAGAUACGUGAGAAUCGCGUGGACGGGUGGCGGCGCGGAGGAGCAAGAAACCACAGAUUGGCUGCAACGCGGUAGCACGGGCCGCCCGUACGCGUGGGCUGCGGCGGCGGGGGUAAUCUGACGAUGACCACGACAACGUCUGCCUCAGCUCCUACUGUCCUAGCACCUACACGACCAUCAGCGACGUGCUCAUCGCCGGGCAUCGAAGAGCCCACGCCAUACGCUGCUUCCUCUGGCACAACCCCGUCAUUCUCAAUCUCACUCACUCACAGUAGCGGUACCAAAACGUUUUGCCCCUGAGCCAAGCUUUCUCUCCCAUCACGUAGAUCUCUGUUUAAAUUUGUGCUGUCCCACUGUACUUCUAUAGCACUAUCGCCUGCUAGAAACCAACCCUCACGCAAACUCUAACCAGUGAAGUUCAAUUUUCCUCUUUCCAAUCCUCUGAUUUACACACAUUAAUGUUAAAUUCUGAUGGAAUCCUGAUGUUCCGCUACAUAUUGUGUACAUAUUUCUUUACCUUCUUCCUCCUAUGUUAUGCUCAUAUACUUCUUCAACAGUUUACAUUUCAGAUUGAUUUACCAACAUAAUAAUUCGGAAUUAUAUAUAUAUACAUAGCCCUCUAUUCAGCAUGUCAUAUUUUCACUAGAUAGUAAUUAUCCGUUUUAAUGUGUAUUUAAAAGAAUUGGUACUAAUGCACUCAUUUGCAUUUCAGAGAAACCAUUGUCUGAAUCAACUGCGAAAACAUCUUUGCCGAAAAGGCAUUCAAACUCAAUAUAUAAUGAGAACAGAACUAAAAUAUUCAUAUUUGCUUUGGCUGUCACGAAUUAUCGGUUGAUUCCAGAUUGUGUUCAUACAAUGUGACCACAUCUGAGAAACAAAUAAAUGGCUGUGCAAUGCUUUCUGAAUUUUAUGCCUAGCGUUUGCAGGCCAAGAAGCACUGUUUUUUGUCCAGUCACUGACAUGGCAUUGUGUAUUUGCUUGGUCAGAUUUCUGAAGUAGGAUUUGAAGGUCUCAUUCAAUAUCUCCAUGAACUUCGUAACAGGAGCAAUACGAUAUCUCGUUCACUUGUCACAAUUUCAAUGAGUCAUCAUGAGUGAUCUUUCACUGUUUUAUUCAAAAUGAUAUCUUCCCGUGGAGCCAAAGAUCUGAUCCAUAAGUUGAUCUUAUUUCUCUCUCCGUUCUCCAAUGAGUAGCAAUGCUACUUUCCCAUUCCUUGCACUCCAACUUUUAAACAUUUGUUUCAGAUAUGAAGCUCUGAAUUAGUCUAUCUGCCGUUGCUUUAAUUACAACAGAAGAGCUUUGACCUUUGAA